AUUUUACUUUCUAUGUGUUUUAACUUUUUAAUUUGACUUUCUGUCUUACAAGACUGGUGCCUCAUGCAACAUAUUCUGCUUAUUUAAUUUUAUGAGCAUCUUGAUUUUCAAAUGCUUAUUUUGCAUGCUCAGUAUUGUUCAAAUAAAAUUCAAACGCUUAAAUUGGCAGGGAUCGUCAAGAAAUACUUUUUUAAAAGCUAUAAACCAAAUUGAAUUAUAUCAUAAAUGUGUAUUAUACUUAAUCGGGAAUAUCAAACGUAAAGUUAAUACAAGUGGGUCUCAUUGGGGUCUAAGCGUGACGCGGGAUUGCCGAUUUUUUGUAAGCGUGACACGUGAAAGUCAAAUUAUUGUGGCGUGAAAACAGGAAAUUAGGUCUUGCGGGACCCGGGAAAUGACAAAAAAAUGAGAAUUGCUUAUGUACAUAGUGUAAGCGGGAUACGGGAAUCUGACAAAACAGUAAGCGGGAUCCGGGAUCGGAACCCCCCAAUGAGACCCCCAUA
Molecule: long non-coding RNA, 500 nt
Filed under: Mytilus galloprovincialis (Mediterranean mussel)
Lineage: Eukaryota; Metazoa; Mollusca; Bivalvia; Mytilida; Mytilidae
Source: RNAcentral